AUCCGUCUGAUCAAUCUCAGAUAGAACGAAACACGUGUCCUGGAU
This 45-nucleotide non-coding RNA is filed under the name Schistosoma bovis. Lineage: Eukaryota; Metazoa; Platyhelminthes; Trematoda; Strigeidida; Schistosomatidae. RNAcentral also lists the same sequence under 1 other name. The record is from RNAcentral.